Punica granatum (pomegranate) is the source of this 731-nucleotide non-coding RNA. The record is from RefSeq and is a predicted model, not a curated record. NCBI's taxonomy places the organism in Eukaryota, Viridiplantae, Streptophyta, Magnoliopsida, Myrtales, Lythraceae.
ACCUUACAGAGAUUGUGGAGAAAUGCCCAAGGCAAUACUUUCCGGAACCGUUCAAGUGUCUAGAUUUUUUAUUCAACCGAUAAGGACCUCCGAACCUGCCAGAGAACUCAACCACCUCAUGGCUGACCAAAUCGUGCUUGCAUUGAUUGUUGGCUUCAGUAGGGUCUCCAAGGCUAUCAACCACUGAAGGAAGGACGCCAUCGCGAAAGCAUCCUCUGUGACUGUGGAAAUAGUCCGGAAGAGGUAUGGAGAGUAGGCGGGGCAGGCGACCGUGGAGCUGCUGGAAGCUGCACGGCAUGCCGGAGAAGCAGCAUGGGCGAUCUUCAAGAUCAGAAAUGCAAUAUUUUCUGAUGAGAAGCUGAACCCUGCAGCUUGUUGAGUUCUAUUGCCAUUUCAUCCAUCAUUGUUUGAGUAUUUCGCAAAUCCACCUGGACUGUUCUGUAAGCAACAACCCAAAUCGAGCAAGACUUUCCUCUCCGAGUUUAGGGAGGCCGCUAGACUAGAUUUUACAAAUCAAUUUGGCAGUUAUUUUCUUUCCUAGCCUGUGCUGAGGUCACAAGUAGCCACAUCUUAAUAUGCUGGUAACCUUUUCGGCUACUCCGGUUUCUGAUUCCGCUUGCCGCCACCAAGCUAAUCAAUGUCAACUCCCUUGUAUCUUCUCCACAUUUUCUCAGAGUGGUAGCUGUAAGGAUUUCGUUACCCAUUACAAGCUUGGCAUUUCUGUGGUGGCA